This 366-nucleotide ribosomal RNA is filed under the name uncultured organism. RNAcentral describes it as "bacterial SSU rRNA". It matches the Rfam family "Bacterial small subunit ribosomal RNA", at positions 526 to 896 of the family's 1533-position model. The record is from RNAcentral.
CGGAGGAUCCAAGCGUUAUCCGGAAUCAUUGGGUUUAAAGGGUCCGUAGGCGGGUUUAUAAGUCAGUGGUGAGAGCCCAUCGCUCAACGAUGGAACGGCCAUUGAUACUGUAGAUCUUGAAUUAUUAGGAAGUAACUAGAAUAUGUAGUGUAGCGGUGAAAUGCUUAGAGAUUACAUGGAAUACCAAUUGCGAAGGCAGGUUACUACUAAUGGAUUGACGCUGAUGGACGAAAGUGUGGGUGGCGAACAGGAUUAGAUACCCUGGUAGUCCACGCCGUAAACGAUGGAUACUAGCUGUUCGGAGCAAUCUGAGUGGCUAAGCGAAAGUGAUAAGUAUCCCACCUGGGGAGUACGUUCGCAAGAAUG